AUUGAACGCUGGCGGCAUGCCUUACACACGCAAGUCGAACGGCAGCAUAGAGGGCUUGCUCUCUGAUGGCGAGUGGCGAACGGGUGAGUAAAGCAUCGGAACGUACCGUGUAGUGGGGGAUAACGUAGCGAAAGUUACGCUAAUACCGCAUACGUACUGAGGUAGAAAGCAGGGGAUCGUAAGACCUUGAGCUAUACGAGCGGCCGAUGUCAGAUUAGCUAGUUGGUAGGGUAAAGGCCUACCAAGGCGACGAACUGUAGCGGGUCUGAGAGGAUGAUCCGCCACACUGGGACUGAGACACGGCCCAGACUCCUACGGGAGGCAGCAGUGGGGAAUUUUGGACAAUGGGGGCAACCCUGAUCCAGCCAUGCCGCGUGAGUGAAGAAGGCCUUCGGGUUGUAAAGCUCUUUCGGCCGGGAAGAAAUCGCACAGGCUAAUACCCUGUGUGGAUGACGGUACCGGCAUAAGAAGCACCGGCUAACUACGUGCCAGCCGCCGCCGUAA
RNAcentral lists this ribosomal RNA (504 nucleotides) under uncultured bacterium. Its description in RNAcentral is "partial 16S ribosomal RNA". It matches the Rfam family "Bacterial small subunit ribosomal RNA", at positions 30 to 523 of the family's 1533-position model. The record is from RNAcentral.